Molecule: long non-coding RNA, 1251 nt
Filed under: Cicer arietinum (chickpea)
Lineage: Eukaryota; Viridiplantae; Streptophyta; Magnoliopsida; Fabales; Fabaceae
Description: long non-coding RNA (CARI_LNC000409)
Source: RNAcentral
GAUUAAAAAUAAAAAAUAAAAACUAAAACUAAAAAAAUGAUGUAUUUUCUCAAUCCCAUCCAAAAGCCAAUUGGCAUCCUUGAUAUCCUCGAAAAUAAAAAGUUGAGACAGCCUGCCCAUUAAUUAAAAAGUUUGUUAUAAUUAUUAUUUUGAUAAAAUAUUUUGUUUAAUUUUCCUUCUCUAUUGCAACAACUAUAUAAAGACACAUAGAGCUACACUUAAUAUUCAUCCACUACAAUUCCCUCUUUCUAGCUACCUUCUCUUCCCAAUUUCUUUCCUAAAAAAAAAAAAGAAAAAAAAAAGAAUUUUUUUCAAGAAAAUUUAAGAAAUGGAAGCAAUGAAGAGAAAGCAAAUGAUUGUAAUGGUUGUUGUGGCCAUGUUAAUGACAUCAUCAAGUGUUUCAGGUGCAGAUGCACCAGCUCCAAGUCCCACUUCGGAUGCUACUACUCUUUUUGUUCCAUCUGCUAUUGCUUCUCUUUUUGCUCUUUUUUUUGGAUUUCUUUUCUGAAUUUAUUAUCAACAUUCUUAUAUUGUUGUUUUUUCCUUCAAAGUUAUUAUUCAUAUUCUUAUGUAACAUAUUCAUUCCUCACUUUACUUUUUCUUACAUGUAAUAUUAUUGUGAUUUGUUUGGUUUCAUGAAUUUAUUCAUGCCCUUUUAUUUGAUUACAUAAUAUAUUCUCUCCUUUUCUGUUUUUAUUUUUUUAUUUUUAAUAAUGAUGAUGUUAAUUGGAUUAGUUCAUGAAAAGGGGAAGAUUAGGAUUCAAAACUUAUAUAUUAUACAAGACUUAAUUUUGACCAUCCAUAAGGCAAAGACUUUUUUCUAUCCAUCAAUGAUGAUUUCAUAUUUGUCUCUACAUUAAUUAAUUUUUGUUCUUUUGCGUAUAUUUAUAGUUCAUGUUUUCUUUAUAAUUGGGCGCAGUUUGUGUAACAACCUAAUUUCUUUGAAUCACACUACAUUUAUGAAUUUUUUGUUUUUUCUUUUUCACUAUUAAAAAUUUAAUGAAUUUUUGUCUUUUGAUGGAAUCAAACUCAAUGUUUAAAGAAUUAUCAUUGUUCAUUCAUUCAUACUACCAAUUGAACUACUCAUAAGAAUUCAUUAAAUUAUUGACGGUGGAAAAGGAAAAGCUAUAAGCUCUUUAGUGUACUAUAGUCAAAGAGAAUGAGUUGUUAUAAAAAAAUAUGUUUUUUUUUAAUAUUUCCACGACAUUUUUAUUCAGUGUCUUCUUACGGCUAUUCUCAUUUAAAAUUGAC